RNAcentral lists this ribosomal RNA (514 nucleotides) under uncultured Staphylococcus sp. Its description in RNAcentral is "partial 16S ribosomal RNA". Lineage: Bacteria; Bacillati; Bacillota; Bacilli; Caryophanales; Staphylococcaceae. The record is from RNAcentral.
CACGUAGUUAGCCGUGGCUUUCUGAUUAGGUACCGUCAAGACGUGCACAGUUACUUACACAUUUAUUCUUCCCUAAUAACAGAGUUUUACGAUCCGAAGACCUUCAUCACCCACGCGGCGUUGCUCCGUCAGGCUUUCGCCCAUUGCGGAAGAUUCCCUACUGCUGCCUCCCGUAGGAGUCUGGACCGUGUCUCAGUUCCAGUGUGGCCGAUCACCCUCUCAGGUCGGCUACGUAUCGUUGCCUUGGUAAGCCAUUACCCCACCAACUAGCUAAUACGGCGCGGGUCCAUCUAUAAGUGAUAGUAAAACCAUCUUUCACUUUAGAACCAUGCGGUUCUAAAUAUUAUCCGGCAUUAGCCCGGUUUCCGGAGUUAUUCCAGUCUAUGGUAAAAAAAAGUUCCACGUGUACUCACCGUCCGCCGCUAACGUCAAAGGAGCAAGCUCCUUAUCUGUUCGCUCGACUUGCAUGUAUAGGUCACGCCGCCAGCGUUCAUCCUGAGCCAGGAUCAACUCU